RNAcentral lists this ribosomal RNA (469 nucleotides) under uncultured Desulfonema sp. RNAcentral's name for it is "bacterial SSU rRNA". It matches the Rfam family "Bacterial small subunit ribosomal RNA", at positions 29 to 478 of the family's 1533-position model. The record is from RNAcentral. Lineage: Bacteria; Pseudomonadati; Thermodesulfobacteriota; Desulfobacteria; Desulfobacterales; Desulfococcaceae.
AAUGAACGCUGGCGGCGUGCUUAACACAUGCAAGUCGCACGAGAACGCUUUAGCUUGCUAGAGCUAGUAAAGUGGCGCACGGGUGAGUAACGCGUGGGUAAUCUACCCCUGAAUUUGGGAUAACGUUGCGAAAGCGACGCUAAUACCGGAUGAUAUCUUUAUGACUUUGGUUGUUGAGAUCAAAGGUGGCCUCUACAUGUAAGCUACUGUUUGGGGAUGAGCCCGCGUACCAUUAGCUAGUUGGUAGGGUAAAGGCCUACCAAGGCGACGAUGGUUAGCUGGUCUGAGAGGAUGAUCAGCCACACUGGAACUGGAACACGGUCCAGACUCCUACGGGAGGCAGCAGUGAGGAAUUUUGCGCAAUGGGCGAAAGCCUGACGCAGCAACGCCGCGUGAGUGAUGAAGGAUUUCGGUUCGUAAAGCUCUGUCAAGUGGGAAGAACCUAUAUAUUGUUAAUAGCGAUAUGUAC